Molecule: transfer-messenger RNA, 355 nt
Filed under: Clostridiales bacterium
Lineage: Bacteria; Bacillati; Bacillota; Clostridia; Eubacteriales
Also listed under: 1 other name
Rfam family: transfer-messenger RNA
About the family: Bacterial tmRNA, also known as 10Sa RNA or SsrA, is named for its dual tRNA and mRNA-like properties. Its role is to liberate the mRNA from a stalled ribosome.
Source: RNAcentral
GGGGGCGUACUGGUUUCGACGGGGGUUUGGAGACAUUGGUAGCGAGUCGUGUUUCGCUUGGUAGCACAAAAAAACUGAGCACCUAAAUAUAAAAGCAAAUAAUAAUUACGCAUUAGCUGCCUAAUAUAACGGCAGCUCGUUUCUCCCUAGCCACCCGCUGCUAGGACAGAAACGUCAUUUUCGCGGGGAACGCCUUAGGGGAUGCCCUGACCCUAAGCUGUACAAUUAGGGCUAGCUAAACCUGUAGUAUGUUAUUGGACGACAGGGGCGGCGAUAUUUAAAACAAUAACUACACUCGUAGAAACUGAUGGUGAAGGGCCUUCGGACAGGGGUUCGACUCCCCUCGCCUCCACCA